GAGCGGGAAAAGCUCAAAUUUAAAAUCUGGCGGUCAUGCCGUCCGAGUUGUAAUCUGGAGAAGCGUUUUCCGCGUCGGACCGUGUACAAGUCUUCUGGAACGGAGCGUCAUAGAGGGUGAGAAUCCCGUCUCUGACACGGACUACCGAUGCUUUUGUGAUGCGCUCUCGAAGAGUCGAGUUGUUUGGGAAUGCAGCUCAAAAUGGGAGGUAAAUUCCUUCUAAAGCUAAAUAUUGGCUAGAGACCGAUAGCGAACAAGUACCGUGAGGGAAAGAUGAAAAGCACUUUGGAAAGAGAGUUAAACAGUACGUGAAAUUGUUGAAAGGGAAACGCUUGAAGUCAGUCGCGUUGGCCGAGACUCAGCCUGGCUUGCCUGGUGUACUUCUCGGUCGACGGGUCAGCAUCAGUUUUGACCGUCGGAUAAAGGUUGGAGGAAUGUGGCAUCUCUCGGGAUGUGUUAUAGCCUCUGAUUCGCAUACGGCGAUUGGGACUGAGGAACUCAGCACGCCUUUACGGUCGGGGUUCGCCCACGCAACGUGCUUAGGAUGCUGGCAUAAUGGCUUUAAGCGACCCGUCUUGAAACACGGACCAAGGAGUCUAACAUGCCCGCGAGUGUUUGGGUGUCAAACCCGAGCGCGUAAUGAAAGUGAAAGUUGAGAUCCCUGUCGUG
This 669-nucleotide ribosomal RNA is filed under the name Athelia decipiens. RNAcentral describes it as "partial large subunit ribosomal RNA". It matches the Rfam family "Eukaryotic large subunit ribosomal RNA", at positions 96 to 752 of the family's 3401-position model. The record is from RNAcentral. Lineage: Eukaryota; Fungi; Basidiomycota; Agaricomycetes; Atheliales; Atheliaceae.